GUAGGUGGCAAGCGUUGUCCGGAAUUAUUGGGGCGUAAAGCGCGCGCAAGGCGGUUCUUUAAGUCUGAUGUGAAAGCCCACGGGCUCAACCGUGGAGGGUCAUUGGAAACUGGAGAACUUGAGUACAGAAGAGGAAAGCGGAAUUCCACGUGUAGCGGUGAAAUGCGUAGAGAUGUGGAGGAACACCAGUGGCGAAGGCGGCUUUCUGGUCUGUAACUGACGCUGAGGCGCGAAAGCGUGGGGAGCAAACAGGAUUAGAUACCCUGGUAGUCCACGCCGUAAACGAUGAGUGCUAAGUGUUAGGGGGUUUCCGCCCCUUAGUGCUGCAGCUAACGCAUUAAGCACUCCGCCUGGUGAGUACGGCCGCAAAGGCUG
RNAcentral lists this ribosomal RNA (375 nucleotides) under uncultured organism. Its description in RNAcentral is "partial 16S ribosomal RNA". It matches the Rfam family "Bacterial small subunit ribosomal RNA", at positions 527 to 896 of the family's 1533-position model. The record is from RNAcentral.